GAUGAAGAACGCAGUGAAAUGCGAUAAGUAAUGCGAAUUGCAGAAUUUCCGUGAGUCAUCGAAUCUUUGAACGCACAUUGCGCCCGUCAGUAUUCUGGCGGGCAUGCCUGUUCGAGCGUCAUUACACCCCUCAAGUCCCCUGUGGACUUGGUGUUGGGGAUCGGCGAGGCUGGUUUUCCAGCACAGCCGUCCCUUAAAUUAAUUGGCGGUCUCGCCGUGGCCCUCCUCUGCGCAGUAGUAAAACACUCGCAACAGGAGCCCGGCGCGGUCCACUGCCGUAAAACCCCCCAACUUUUUAUAGUUGACCUCGAAUCAGGUAGGACUACCCGCUGAACUUAAGCAUAUCAAUAAGCGGAGGA
Molecule: unclassified non-coding RNA, 359 nt
Filed under: soil metagenome
Description: partial contains 5.8S ribosomal RNA, internal transcribed spacer 2, and large subunit ribosomal RNA
Rfam family: 5.8S ribosomal RNA (bases 1-121)
Source: RNAcentral